This is a long non-coding RNA of Lutra lutra (Eurasian river otter), 95 nucleotides long. RefSeq lists it as uncharacterized. The record is from RefSeq and is a predicted model, not a curated record. The transcript is spliced from 4 exons. NCBI's taxonomy places the organism in Eukaryota, Metazoa, Chordata, Mammalia, Carnivora, Mustelidae.
UAUUUCCUCUUCCUUAUGAUUUUCUUAACAUUUGCUUUUCUCUAGCUCACUUUAAUGUAAGAAUACAGUGUAAGGGCCUGGUUGGGCAGAGGGAG